This 253-nucleotide ribosomal RNA is filed under the name uncultured bacterium. RNAcentral's name for it is "partial 16S ribosomal RNA". It matches the Rfam family "Bacterial small subunit ribosomal RNA", at positions 524 to 776 of the family's 1533-position model. The record is from RNAcentral.
UACGGAGGGUGCCAGCGUUAUCCGGAUUUACUGGGUUUAAAGGGUGCGUAGGCGGGCAUGUAAGUCAGUGGUGAAAUACCGGAGCUUAACUUCGGAACUGCCAUUGAUACUAUAUGUCUUGAAUAUUGUGGAGGUAAGCGGAAGAUGUCAUGUAGCGGUGAAAUGCAUAGAUAUGACAUAGAACACCGAUUGCGGAGGCAGCUUGCUACACAAAUAUUGACGCUGAGGCACGAAAGCGUGGGGAUCAAACAGG